RNAcentral lists this ribosomal RNA (482 nucleotides) under uncultured bacterium. RNAcentral's name for it is "partial 16S ribosomal RNA". It matches the Rfam family "Bacterial small subunit ribosomal RNA", at positions 28 to 507 of the family's 1533-position model. The record is from RNAcentral.
GACGAACGCUGGCGGCGUGCUUAACACAUGCAAGUCGAACGCUGAAGCUCAGCUUGCUGGGUGGAUGAGUGGCGAACGGGUGGGUAACACGUGAGUAACCUGCCCUCUUCUUUGGGAUAACGCCCGGAAACGGGUGCUAAUACUGGAUAUUCACUGAUUCUCGCAUGGGGGUUGGUGGAAAGGUUUUUUCUGGUGGGGGAUGGGCUCGCGGCCUAUCAGCUUGUUGGUGGGGUGAUGGCCUACCAAGGCUUUGACGGGUAGCCGGCCUGAGAGGGUGACCGGUCACAUUGGGACUGAGAUACGGCCCAGACUCCUACGGGAGGCAGCAGUGGGGAAUAUUGCACAAUGGGCGAAAGCCUGAUGCAGCGACGCCGCGUGAGGGAUGGAGGCCUUCGGGUUGGAAACCUCUUUCGCUCAUGGUCAAGCCGCAGCGUUGGGUUGUGGUGAGGGUAGUGGGUAAAGAAGCGCCGGCUAACUACGUG